Non-coding RNA from Schistosoma rodhaini, 45 nucleotides. The record is from Rfam. NCBI's taxonomy places the organism in Eukaryota, Metazoa, Platyhelminthes, Trematoda, Strigeidida, Schistosomatidae.
AUCCAGCUGACGAGUCCUAAAUCGGACGAAACACGCGUCCUGAAA